Molecule: long non-coding RNA, 1728 nt
Organism: Homo sapiens (human)
Lineage: Eukaryota; Metazoa; Chordata; Mammalia; Primates; Hominidae
Gene: ZNF213-AS1
Product: ZNF213 antisense RNA 1 (head to head)
Source: Ensembl
GGGAGGAAAGGCGAGGCUCUGCAUCUAGAUUUACCUCGUUCUCUUUUGUCUCCGCUUUUUUUUCACAUUUCCUUGCGACCCUGGCCCUUGAGCGACAAAAAGGGGAAGCCAAGGCUGGCCCGAGGAACGGAGAGGGCACAUGGCCUAGCCACAAGUGGAGCUUCUGCUCCGCCCGAAGGGAUGCGCUGGAGCGGCCUCUUCCUUCUGCCACGGUCUUUCUUUGCCAACUAGUAGAUUUGGACAUUUACAGUGUUCAGCCGUUGUUGUGGCAUUCCAAUUCAAUUGGGAAACAGCUUGAUGUAGCGUCCCCAUAAGGUCCACAGUAAUUAAAUUUUUUUUUUUUUUUUUUGGUGCGGUAGUGCAAUUUCAUGGCUCACUGCAACCUCCACCUCCCAGGUUCAAGCGAUCCUCCCAUCUCAGCCUCCCUAGUAGCUGGGAUUACAGGUGCACGCCACCACACCAGGCUAAUUUUUGUAUUUUUAGUAGAGAUGGGGUUUCACCAGGUUAGCCAGGCUGGUCUUGAACUCCAGACCUCAAGGGAUCCGCCUGCCUCAGCUUUCCAAAGUGCUGGGAUUACAGGUGGAGACUGGACCUCAGAAGAGGGAGUGGGUGCCCCGAGAACUCACAGCUAGCGGACAGUGGAAAGGGCAGGAGCCGGACCAAGGUGAGGACAGUGGAACUGAAGGCCGCUGGUUACCUCUCCUGCCCUCCGCUGGCCACAGUGGAGAAGACAGCCCCUCCCUCCUGCUCUGACCUGACAGUGUUCAUCCAUCGCCCUGUAUUAGCGAAGAACAACAUCAAGCUGGCUAGCAAGGAACUGUAUACAGGGUCCAGCUGGGUAUCACACUGGAUCUCACCCAAAGCUUAGAUGUGAUCCAGCUCAGUAUCACAAAGCAGAACGAAAAGGAUGUGUUUGGGCUGAGAGGCCAUACAUUGGCUCCGGCAUGACGGGUGACUUCUUCCGAGUCUGGCUUCUGCAGCACACAGGGCUUCGCCAGCACCCAGCUCCUGCAGCAUGGGCAGCUCCUGUGACAGCAGGCGCCCGCAGCCUGCAAAGCGUCUCCAGUGCCGCCGCCUCAGUGAACCUCAACCAGCGGCACCUAGCAGCUUUCUCUGCCACCCUCUUCAGGUAGUUCUGUAGCAGCGCGUUUCUCAUGAGACACUUCCCUGUGAGCAGCUUUUUCUACCCUUGAGGAUGGAUUUCCAGCAAAUUCUGCCCAUGUGGUACCACAGCCACUUCUCUGCCAUUCAGUGAAACUGCCGUUGUGCCCUCUUCAAGGUCUGGAUCUAAGCCCAGGGACCAGGAAACCUCUUGCUUGAGUGCUGGAACUCAGGCCAGAAGGUAUGGCUGCUGCUAUGUGCUGUGACCAGAGAAUCAGAGUUCUCUUUACUUCUUACCAGCCAACCUCUUGAAAAUGCCUUUUUGUUUUUUGUUUUUUUUUGAGACGGAGUCUCGCUCUGUUGCCCAGGCAGUGCAGUGGCUCACUGCAACCUCCGCCUCCUGAGUUCAAGUGAUUCUCCUGCCUCAGCCUCACAAGUAGGUGGGAUUACAGGCAUGUGCCACCACGCCCAGCUAAUUUUGUAUUUUUAGUAGUGACGGGGUUUCUCCAUGUUGGUCAGGUUGGUCUCAAACUCUCGACCUCAGGUGAUCCACCUGUCUCAGCCUCCCAAAGUGCUGGGAUUACAGACGUUAGCCAGAGCGCCCAGUCUAAGCCCUUUAUAGCUUAA